AUUUUUAAAUUUUAACUCAUAUUUUAAUUAAAAAAGUUGAAAAAAUAAAUUUAAUCCGAAUAAAUAUCCAUUCCGUCCGGAUUCAACUUUUAAUCCGACCUCCCGGAUUGAAAAAAGAGGAAAUUGGGGAAUUCUCAUUCCACUCGGGAAUCGGAAUCGGAAUGGGACUCCCGCGUACCAAACAUUUACAAACAGAUUUGCCCAUUUCAAUUCCGAUUUCAGGGUGAAAAAGAAGCGAACCAAACACGUUCUUAAUGCCUAUAAUAAUAAUGAACAAAGUG
This 281-nucleotide long non-coding RNA is filed under the name Ananas comosus (pineapple). RNAcentral describes it as "long non-coding RNA (ACOM_LNC021733)". Lineage: Eukaryota; Viridiplantae; Streptophyta; Magnoliopsida; Poales; Bromeliaceae. The record is from RNAcentral.